GCUUACGGCCAUACCACCCUGAGAACGCCCGAUCUCGUCCGAUCUCGGAAGCUAAGCAGGGUCGGGCCUGGUAGUACUUGGAUGGGAGACCGCCUGGGAAUACCAGGUGCUGUAAGCU
RNAcentral lists this ribosomal RNA (118 nucleotides) under Takifugu rubripes (torafugu). The record is from RNAcentral. Lineage: Eukaryota; Metazoa; Chordata; Actinopteri; Tetraodontiformes; Tetraodontidae.